GAAGAGGAUGGGCAUGCGGCGCAUUAGCUAGACGGCGGGGUAACGGCCCACCGUGGCGACGAUGCGUAGGGGUUCUGAGAGGAAGGUCCCCCACACUGGUACUGAGACACGGACCAGACUCCUACGGGAGGCAGCAGUGAGGAAUAUUGGUCAAUGGGAGAGAUCCUGAACCAGCCAAGCCGCGUGAGGGAAGACGGCCCUAUGGGUUGUAAACCUCUUUUGUCGGAGAACAAAACCCGGGACGAGUCCCGGACUGCGUGUAUCCGAAGAAAAAGCAUCGGCUAACUCCGUGCCAGCAGCCGCGGUAAUACGGAGGAUGCGAGCGUUAUCCGGAUUUAUUGGGUUUAAAGGGUGCGUAGGCGGUCCGUUAAGUCAGCGGUAAAAUUGCGGGGCUCAACCCCGUCGAGCCGUUGAAACUGGCAGACUUGAGUUGGCGAGAAGUACGCGGAAUGCGCGGUGUAGCGGUGAAAUGCAUAGAUAUCGCGCAGAACUCCGAUUGCGAAGGCAGCGUACCGGCGCCACACUGACGCUGAGGCACGAAAGCGUGGGGAUCGAACAGGAUUAGAUACCCUGGUAGUCCACGCAGUAAACGAUGAAUGCUGGUUGUCCGGGUCGAAUGAGAUCUGG
This 627-nucleotide ribosomal RNA is filed under the name uncultured bacterium. RNAcentral's name for it is "bacterial SSU rRNA". It matches the Rfam family "Bacterial small subunit ribosomal RNA", at positions 218 to 842 of the family's 1533-position model. The record is from RNAcentral.